GCGCCUGUAGCUCAGCCGGAUAGAGCAUCUGCCUUCUAAGCAGGUUGUCGGGAGUUCGAAUCUCUCCAGGCGCGCCA
RNAcentral lists this transfer RNA (77 nucleotides) under Dehalobacter sp. MCB1. RNAcentral's name for it is "tRNA-Arg". It matches the Rfam family "tRNA". Rfam says of the family: Transfer RNA (tRNA) molecules are approximately 80 nucleotides in length. Their secondary structure includes four short double-helical elements and three loops (D, anti-codon, and T loops). Further hydrogen bonds mediate the characteristic L-shaped molecular structure. tRNAs have two regions of fundamental functional importance: the anti-codon, which is responsible for specific mRNA codon recognition, and the 3' end, to which the tRNAs corresponding amino acid is attached (by aminoacyl-tRNA synthetases). tRNAs cope with the degeneracy of the genetic code in two manners: having more than one tRNA (with a specific anti-codon) for a particular amino acid; and 'wobble' base-pairing, i.e. permitting non-standard base-pairing at the 3rd anti-codon position. RNAcentral also lists the same sequence under 3 other names. Lineage: Bacteria; Bacillati; Bacillota; Clostridia; Eubacteriales; Desulfitobacteriaceae. The record is from RNAcentral.